GCCGCAAUAACUCAGUUGGUAGAGUGUCUGGCUGUUAACCAGAAUGUCACAGGUUCGAGCCCUGUUUGCGGCG
This is a non-coding RNA of Methanolobus sp. T82-4, 73 nucleotides long. NCBI's taxonomy places the organism in Archaea, Methanobacteriati, Methanobacteriota, Methanomicrobia, Methanosarcinales, Methanosarcinaceae. The record is from Rfam.